UACAGAGGUCCCGAGCGUUGUUCGGAUUCAUUGGGCGUAAAGGGUGCGUAGGCGGUCGCGCAAGUCGGAUGUGAAAUCUCAGGGCUCAACCCUGAAACUGCAUUCGAUACUGCGUGGCUAGAGUGCUGGAGAGGAGACUGGAAUUUACGGUGUAGCAGUGAAAUGCGUAGAUAUCGUAAGGGAAGACCAGUGGCGAAGGCGAGUCUCUGGACAGCAACUGACGCUGAGGCACGAAGGCCAGGGGAGCAAACGGG
Molecule: ribosomal RNA, 254 nt
Filed under: uncultured bacterium
Lineage: Bacteria
Description: partial 16S ribosomal RNA
Rfam family: Bacterial small subunit ribosomal RNA
Source: RNAcentral